UGAUCAAAUUUUAAAGGGCCGCGGUAUACUGACCGUGCGAAGGUAGCAUAAUCAUUAGUCUUUUAAUUGAAGGCUUGUAUGAAUGGUUGGACAAAAAGUAAGCUGUCUCAGUUAUAAUGAUUGAAUUUAACUUUUGAGUGAAAAGGCUUAAAUAAAUUGAGGGGACGAUAAGACCCUAUAAAGCUUGACAGUAAGUUGAUUAUAUUAUAAAUUGUUAGUAUAACUUGAUUUUAGUUAGCGUCUGUUACGUUGGGGCGACGAGAAUAUAAUAAGUAACUGUUCUUAAGUAUCUAAUAACAACUAUAGUUGGUAAAUAAAUGAUCCUCUAUUAGGGAUUAGAAGAUUAAGUUACUUUAGGGAUAACAGCGUAAUCUUCUUUGAGAGUCCAUAUCGACAAGAAGGUUUGCGACCUCGAUGUUGAAUU
This 424-nucleotide ribosomal RNA is filed under the name Penaeus esculentus. RNAcentral's name for it is "partial 16S ribosomal RNA". It matches the Rfam family "Bacterial large subunit ribosomal RNA", at positions 1909 to 2538 of the family's 2925-position model. Lineage: Eukaryota; Metazoa; Arthropoda; Malacostraca; Decapoda; Penaeidae. The record is from RNAcentral.